UGGGGCAGCAGCUGGCCUAGUUGGCAGUCCUUGUAUCAGGGCCUCGUGCACGGGAUUGUAUUUUAACUUAUAACCCACCUCAGGUAGACACGCAACUCACAUGGAGAAACUCGGACCCAGAGAAGUUAAGUUACCAGCCUGAGGAAUCUUCCAUCUACAGUGUGGGACCCCAUUCCUCCUGUUGAGUCUGUGUUCUCCCCUCUUCAUCAGACUUGGGAAGUGCCUAACACUUGGAGCACCUGCCCACCUUCAGAUCUGGAUCCAGGCCACCAGCCCAGUUGUCAUCACAGAAUCAAUGCCACCUCCACAGGACUGCAUCAAUCCUACUUCUCUAGACCAUCUGUCACAGGAGUGAGAAACCUCUACAUUCCUGCAGGCUACAUUCCUGUCUCGCAUGUGGGCAGGGCAGGCAGCUGCCUUUCAGGGUUACUGCAGAGAAAGGCUUUUCAGCCUCUUCCCUGGUGAGUGAACAUCACCCUCACUGAGAGCCUCUGGGCCUGCAGAGCAUCCACCUGCUGGGAAACCUAAAGGUAGCAAGUUGACCUCCUGACACCCCUUCCCCAGAAGACCCCAGAAAGAACUCUCUCACAAGAGGCAUUGCAGGGAGUGGUCAUUUGAGCUACCUCUAGAAACAAGAAAUGCCAACAUUGCUUUGAACGCAAGCAGUGAGCGACAGGAAGAGUGCAUCUGCAAUGCCUGAAGUAGACCAAGCACCAAUUUCUUUAAUUUGUCCAGUUAAAAAAAAAGGCCAAAAACCAGGUUUUUUAAAUGAAAAAAAAAAUGAACAUUGAUGUGUUCAGCAAAAGACAGGUGGAUGGCUUUGUGCUACCAUGGAAUGAUCUUUUCAGAGUCCUAAAGAACACACAAGCUAAAGAAGAGACUUCCUAUGAAGAAGAGACUUCCUCAGGAAGCUGUUUGAGGUGGAGAGGACUUACCACUGCACAACAGCAUUGAUGGUCACUGUGAGUUGAGUGUCUGCUACUCACAUGGCACUAUGCUGCACUCUUGCCUGCGUCAAUUUACUUAAUUCUAACAAACAAACUUGUGAGUUGCUCCCUUUGAAGACCUGCCUCGGGGUUCAUGUUGCGGCAUCAAACAGGGAUGGAAGAUGCAUAUCAUGUUAGUAGUGGGAGCCUCUAAAGCAGCUGAAGUCCCUUGAGGGGGCUGGCAUGCAGAAGUCCGGACUGAGCCCAAGCACAAGGAGGAGCGGGGCCUCCUAGGCUGACUGGGAGCAGCAGACAGACACGCAGGCCUUCUCACAGCUGUGCUGAGAACGCCAGCCACGGGCACAGGGUCAUGCCUAGACCCCAUUGUGCAUCCAGCUGCCUCACACUCGUGGAAGCCCAGCAAGCAUGUGGAGAGACACACACCCACAUGCACAGUCAUGACAGAGACGCACCAGAGGUUUCUGGCAAGGAGUGUAAUUUUGUUCUCAGCAUCCUGCCAAUGACAGUCUACUGAUGUCUGAAACGUCUCUGCUAUGAAAUGCCUCUCCCCUUUACCCCCUUCCUCACCACAGCCCUGGUCCCUUGACAGGAGCGAUCAUGUCUUGAUUGGACUACAGCCCUUAUUCUGGCCUACCCUCAGUCCAUCGUACACCCCAGAACAGGCAGUGUCUGGGGUCUCACCACAUCACUUCUCAUUUAAAACCCUUCAGAGGCCUCCCCUUCACUAUAGGAAGAAGUUCAGAUCACUUGGCAUCCCUGUAAGGCCAUUGCCAUUUGGGUUCACCAGUGGUCUGGCCGCAGCCCCUGCACUGGAUGCCCCUGCACUGAGUGCCCCAGAGGAAGGGUAGUAACUGAAGCCAUCCUGCCCCCAAUUCUUUUGCUCAUGUUAGGGUCACUACGUGAAAAUCCCUCCUGCCCUCACCCCAUUUCUUUUGCUAAACUGUCAACCAUGCAUCCGUCAAGGCUCAGCUCAGCCACCCUGACUUUGGAGGCCCUGCCGU
Molecule: long non-coding RNA, 1948 nt
Organism: Talpa occidentalis (Iberian mole)
Lineage: Eukaryota; Metazoa; Chordata; Mammalia; Eulipotyphla; Talpidae
Exons: 9
Source: RefSeq, a predicted model, not a curated record